Molecule: ribosomal RNA, 459 nt
Filed under: uncultured bacterium
Lineage: Bacteria
Description: partial 16S ribosomal RNA
Rfam family: Bacterial small subunit ribosomal RNA
Source: RNAcentral
CCUACGGGUGGCAGCAGUGAGGAAUAUUGGUCAAUGGGCGCGAGCCUGAACCAGCCAAGUCGCGUGAGGGAAGACGGUCCUAUGGAUUGUAAACCUCUUUUGUCGGGGAGCAAAAGACGCCACGCGUGGCGUUCCGAGAGUACCCGAAGAAAAAGCAUCGGCUAACUCCGUGCCAGCAGCCGCGGUAAGACGGAGGAUGCGAGCGUUAUCCGGAUUUAUUGGGUUGAAAGGGUGCGCAGGCGGAAGAGCAAGUCAGCGGUAAAAUUGAGAGGCUCAACCUCUUCGAGCCGUUGAAACUGGGUUUCUUGAGUGCGCGAGAUGUCUGCGUAAUGCGUGGUGUAGCGGUGAAAUGCCUAGAUAUCACGCAGAACUCCGAUUGCGCAGGCAGCAUGCCGGCUCCACACUGACGCUGAGGCACGAACGCGUGGGUAUCGAACAGGAUUAGAUACCCCGGUAGUC